GACGAACGCUGGCGGCGUGCUUAACACAUGCAAGUCGAACGGAAAGGCCUCUUUCGGGGGGUACUCGAGUGGCGAACGGGUGAGUAACACGUGAGUAACCUGCCCUUGACGUUGGGAUAACUUCAGGAAACUGGGGCUAAUACCGGAUAGGAGCUCCUGCUGCAUGGUGGGGGUUGGAAAGUUUCGGCGGUUGGGGAUGGACUCGCGGCUUAUCAGCUUGUUGGUGGGGUAGUGGCUUACCAAGGCUUUGACGGGUAGCCGGCCUGAGAGGGUGACCGGCCACAUUGGGACUGAGAUACGGCCCAGACUCCUACGGGAGGCAGCAGUGGGGAAUAUUGCACAAUGGGUGGAAGCCUGAUGCAGCAACGCCGUGUGCGGGAUGACGGCCUUCGGGUUGUAAACCGCUUUCGCUCAUGACGAAGCUUUGUGUGACGGUAGUGGGUAAAGAAGCACCGGCUAACUACGUG
Molecule: ribosomal RNA, 467 nt
Filed under: uncultured bacterium
Lineage: Bacteria
Description: partial 16S ribosomal RNA
Rfam family: Bacterial small subunit ribosomal RNA
Source: RNAcentral